This 440-nucleotide ribosomal RNA is filed under the name uncultured bacterium. RNAcentral's name for it is "partial 16S ribosomal RNA". It matches the Rfam family "Bacterial small subunit ribosomal RNA", at positions 338 to 795 of the family's 1533-position model. The record is from RNAcentral.
CCUACGGGAGGCAGCAGUGGGGAAGAGUGCACAAUGGGGGAAACCCUGAUGCAGCGACGCCGCGUGAGUGAAGAAGUAAUGCGUUAUGUAAAGCUCUAUCAGCAGGGAAGAAAAUGACGGUACCUGAGUAAGAAGCCCCGGCGAACUACGUGCCAGCAGCCGCGGGAAUACGGAGGGGGCAAGCGUUAUCCGGAUUUACUGGGUGUAAAGGGAGCGUAGACGGCAGGGCAAGUCUGGAGUGAAAGGCGGGGGCUCAACCCCCGGACUGCUCUGGAAACUGUACGGCUGGUGUGCAGGAGAGGUAAGUGGCAUUCCUCGUGUAGCGGUCACAUGCGUAGAUCUUUGGCGGCACCCCAGUGGCGACGGCGUCUUACUGGACUGUACCUGACGUUGCGGCUCGACAGCGUGGUGAGCAAACAGGAUUAGAUCCCCCUGUAGUC